GACGAACGCUGGCGGCGGGCCUAACACAUGCAAGUCAUACGAGCAGUCCUUCGGACGGGCGAGUGGCGCACGGGUGAGUAACACGUAGAGAAUCUGCCCUUAAGUGGGGAAUAACUGUUGGAAACGACAGCUAAUACCGCAUAUUGACUAAGUACUGCAUGGUACAUAGUUGAAAGCCUUUGGGCGCUUAAGGAUGACUCUGCGGAAGAUUAGCUAGUUGGUGAGGUAACGGCUCACCAAGGCGACGAUCUAUAGCUGGUCUGAGAGGAUGAUCAGCCACACUGGCACUGACACACGGGCCAGACUCCUACGGGAGGCAGCAGUGAGGAAUAUUGGACAAUGGGCGCAAGCCUGAUCCAGCCACGCCGCGUGCAGGACGAAGCUCCUUUGGGGUGUAAACUGCUUUUAUGUGGGAAUAAAAAUCGGUUGCCGAUCUUGAAGGUACCAUAAGAAUAAGCACCGG
Molecule: ribosomal RNA, 463 nt
Filed under: uncultured bacterium
Lineage: Bacteria
Description: bacterial SSU rRNA
Rfam family: Bacterial small subunit ribosomal RNA
Source: RNAcentral